AUUGAACGCUGGCGGAAUGCUUUACACAUGCAAGUCGAACGGCAGCACGGACUUCGGUCUGGUGGCGAGUGGCGAACGGGUGAGUAAUGUAUCGGAACGUGCCCAGUCGUGGGGGAUAACGUAGUAAAAAUUACGCUAAUACCGCAUACGAUCUAUGGAUGAAAGCGGGGGAUCGCAAGACCUCGCGCGAUUGGAGCGGCCGAUAUCAGAUUAGGUAGUUGGUGGGGUAAAGGCCCACCAAGCCAACGAUCUGUAGCUGGUCUGAGAGGGCGACCAGCCACACUGGAACUGAGACACGGUCCAGACUCCUACGGGAGGCAGCAGUGGGGAAUUUUGGACAAUGGGCGAAAGCCUGAUCCAGCCAUUCCGCGUGCAGGAUGAAGGCCCUCGGGUUGUAAACUGCUUUUGUACAGAACGAAAAGGUUUCUACUAAUACUAGGAGCUCAUGACGGUACUGUAAGAAUAAGCACCAGCUAACUACGUGCCAGCCGCCGCGGUAA
Molecule: ribosomal RNA, 500 nt
Filed under: uncultured bacterium
Lineage: Bacteria
Description: partial 16S ribosomal RNA
Rfam family: Bacterial small subunit ribosomal RNA
Source: RNAcentral